This 930-nucleotide ribosomal RNA is filed under the name uncultured bacterium. Its description in RNAcentral is "bacterial SSU rRNA". It matches the Rfam family "Bacterial small subunit ribosomal RNA", at positions 8 to 916 of the family's 1533-position model. The record is from RNAcentral.
AGAGUUUGAUCCUGGCUCAGAAUCAACGCUGGCGGCGUGCCUAACACAUGCAAGUCGAACGCGAAAGUGGAGCAAUCCAUGAGUAGAGUGGCAAACGGGUGAGUAACACGUGGGUGACCUGCCUUCGAGUGGGGGAUAACUUUCCGAAAGGAAGGCUAAUACCGCAUGACAUACCGUGUUCAGAUACACGGAUAUCAAAGCUGGGGAUCGCAAGACCUGGCGCUUGAAGAGGGGCCCGCGUCCGAUUAGCUAGUUGGUGAGGUAACGGCUCACCAAGGCUCCGAUCGGUAUCCGGCCUGAGAGGGCGGACGGACACACUGGAACUGAGACACGGUCCAGACUCCUACGGGAGGCAGCAGUGGGGAAUUGUUCGCAAUGGGCGAAAGCCUGACGACGCAACGCCGCGUGGAGGAUGAAGAAUUUCGGUUCGUAAACUCCUUUCGACCGAGAUGAACAUCCCGCGAUCUAAUAAGUCGUGGGACUGACAGUAUCGAGAGAAGAAGCCCCGGCUAAUUCUGUGCCAGCAGCCGCGGUAAUACAGGGGGGGCAAGCGUUGUUCGGAAUUACUGGGCGUAAAGGGUUCGUAGGUGGCCAACUAAGUCAGACGUGAAAUCCCUCAGCUUAACUGGGGAACUGCGUCUGAUACUGGUUGGCUUGAGUGCAGGAGAGGAAUGCGGAAUUCCAGGUGUAGCGGUGAAAUGCGUAGAUAUCUGGAGGAACACCGGCGGCGAAAGCGGCAUUCUGGACUGUAACUGACACUGAGGAACGAAAGCCAGGGGAGCAAACGGGAUUAGAUACCCCGGUAGUCCUGGCCCUAAACGAUGAAUGCUUGGUGUGGCGGGUAUCGAUCCCUGCCGUGCCGAAGUUAACGCAUUAAGCAUUCCGCCUGGGGAGUACGGUCGCAAGGCUGAAACUCAAAGGAAUUGACGG